Molecule: unclassified non-coding RNA, 249 nt
Filed under: uncultured fungus
Lineage: Eukaryota; Fungi
Description: partial contains 5.8S ribosomal RNA, internal transcribed spacer 2, and large subunit ribosomal RNA
Source: RNAcentral
AACGCACAUUGCGCCCCUUGGUAUUCCAUGGGGCAUGCCUGUUCGAGCGUCAUUUGUACCUUCAAGCUAUGCUUGGUGUUGGGUGUUUGUCCUUGGCCCUUUAGGGUAGGACUCGCCUUAAAGUAAUUGGCAGCCAGUAUUUUGGUUUGAAGCGCAGCACAAGUCGCGAUUCAAGCCGAAGUAACAGCUUCCAUCAAGUUAUUUAUCACUUUUGACCUCGGAUCAGGUAGGGAUACCCGCUGAACUUAA